RNAcentral lists this ribosomal RNA (400 nucleotides) under uncultured bacterium. RNAcentral's name for it is "bacterial SSU rRNA". It matches the Rfam family "Bacterial small subunit ribosomal RNA", at positions 478 to 873 of the family's 1533-position model. The record is from RNAcentral.
CCGUAAGAAUAAGCACCGGCUAACUACGUGCCAGCAGCCGCGGUAAUACGUAGGGUGCAAGCGUUAAUCGGAAUUACUGGGCGUAAAGCGCGCGCAGGCGGCCGCGUAAGUCGGAUGUGAAAUCCCACGGCUCAACCGAGGAAUUGCAUCCGAUACUGCGUGGCUAGAGGCAGGUAGGGGCGAGUGGAAUUCCCGGUGUAGCGGUGAAAUGCGCAGAUAUCGGGAGGAACACCGGUGGCGAAGGCGGCUCGCUGGGCCUGUCCUGACGCUCAGGCGCGAAAGCUAGGGGAGCAAACAGGAUUAGAUACCCUGGUAGUCCUAGCCGUAAACGUUGGGUGCUAGGUGUGGGGGGACGAUCGACCCCUUCCGUGCCGAAGCUAACGCAUUAAGCAUCCCCGCC